RNAcentral lists this ribosomal RNA (468 nucleotides) under uncultured bacterium. RNAcentral's name for it is "partial 16S ribosomal RNA". It matches the Rfam family "Bacterial small subunit ribosomal RNA", at positions 28 to 507 of the family's 1533-position model. The record is from RNAcentral.
GACGAACGCUGGCGGCGUGCUUAACACAUGCAAGUCGAACGGAAAGGCCCUGCUUUUGUGGGGUGCUCGAGUGGCGAACGGGUGAGUAACACGUGAGUAUCCUGCCCUUGACUUUGGGAUAACUUCAGGAAACUGGGGCUAAUACCGGAUAGGAGCUCCUGCUGCAUGGUGGGGGUUGGAAAGUUUCGGCGGUUGGGGAUGGACUCGCGGCUUAUCAGCUUGUUGGUGGGGUAGUGGCUUACCAAGGCUUUGACGGAUAGCCGGCCUGCGAGGGUGACCGGCCACAUUGGGACUGCGAUACGGCGCAGACUCCUACGGGAGGCAGCAGGGGGGAAUAUUGCACAGUGGGCGGAAGCCUGAUGCAGCAACGCCGCGUGCGGGAUGACGGCCUUCGGGGUGUAAACCGCUGUCGCCUGUGACGAAGCGUGAGUGACGGUAAUGGGUAAAGAAGCACCGGCUAACUACGUG